GUGGCAGCAGUCGAGAAUUUUUGACAAUGGGGGAAACCCUGAUCGAGCGACGCCGCGUGGAGGAUGAAGGUCUUCGGAUUGUAAACUCCUGUCAUUGGGGAACAAUGCGUGACGGUUAACUGCCGUUGCGUUGAUAGUACUCGAAGAGGAAGAGACGGCUAACUCUGUGCCAGCAGCCGCGGUAAUACAGAGGUCUCAAGCGUUGUUCGGAUUCAUUGGGCGUAAAGGGUGCGUAGGCGGCGCGGUAAGUCGGGUGUGAAAUCUUGGAGCUUAACUCCGAAACUGCAUUCGAUACUGCCGUGCUUGAGGACUGGAGAGGAGACUGGAAUUUACGGUGUAGCGGUGAAAUGCGUAGAUAUCGUAAGGAGGACCAGUGGCGAAGGCGGGUCUCUGGACAGUUCCUGACGCUGAGGCACGAAGGUCAGGGGAGCAAACGGGAUUAGAUACCCCGGUAGUCCUGACAGUAAACGGUGCACGUUUGGUGUGGGAGGAUUCGACCCCUUCUGCGCCGGAGCUAACGCGUUAAACGUGCCGCCUGGGGAGUACGGUCGCAAGAUUAAAACUCAAAGAAAUUGACGGGGGCCCGCACAAGCGGUGGAGUAUGUGGCUCAAUUCGAUGCAACGCGAAGAACCUUACCAGGCCUUGACAUGCAUUGCUAAGUUGGUGAAAGCCAGCGAGUGGAGCAAUCCACACCUUGCACAGGUGCUGCAUGGCUGUCGUCAGCUCGUGUCGUGAGAUGUUGGGUUAAGUCCCGCAACGAGCGCAACCCCUGUGAACUGUUGCCACCGAGCCGUGAGGCUCGAGCACUCUGUUCAGACUGCCCCGCUCUAACGGGGAGGAAGGUGGGGACGACGUCAAGUCAGUAUGGCCCUUACGGCCUGGGCUGCACACGUACUACAAUGCCCAGCACAGAACGAUCCAAGACCGCGAGGUGGAGGAAAUCACUAAAACUGGGCCCAGUUCAGAUUGAAGUCUGCAACUCGACUUCAUGAAGCCGGAAUCGCUAGUAAUGGCGUAUCAGCUACGACGCCGUGAAUACGUUCCCGGGCCUUGUACACACCGCCCGUCACAUCAUGGGAGUCGCUUGUAGCCGAAGUCGGCGCGCUAACCGCAAGGAGGCAGCCGCCUACGCUAUGAGCGGUAACUGGGAUGAAGUCGUAACAAGGUAGCCGUAAAUCUCUAGA
RNAcentral lists this ribosomal RNA (1185 nucleotides) under uncultured bacterium. RNAcentral describes it as "bacterial SSU rRNA". It matches the Rfam family "Bacterial small subunit ribosomal RNA", at positions 345 to 1533 of the family's 1533-position model. The record is from RNAcentral.